Long non-coding RNA from Anneissia japonica, 399 nucleotides. RefSeq lists it as uncharacterized. The transcript has 3 exons. The record is from RefSeq and is a predicted model, not a curated record. NCBI's taxonomy places the organism in Eukaryota, Metazoa, Echinodermata, Crinoidea, Comatulida, Comatulidae.
UCGCCAAAUAAAGAAAGUGAAGUUGUAGCUUGGGGUUAUGAUUAUUGCAUUCAAGUCCCGAAAAGUUUGGUUAACAUCUUCAAGGAAUUAUUGCUUGAAACGAAAUAAUUGGCUUGAUCCUCCUUUUUUCCCCCCAUAUUUUUGUUGCAGAUGUAGAUGCUUGUGAAAGUAACCCAUGUCCAUCUGGAAGCCAAUGCCAAGAUCUCAAAUAUAGCUACAAGUGUAAAGACAUAACUGCAUCCGGAUGUUCGUGUUCUAACGGUGGUUCGUGUAUUGGCAAAGAUAGUAAUGGUGAUGAGUUCUGCGCAUGUCCAUCCGGCCGCCAAGGAGAUAUGUGUGAACUUACUAUUUCACCUCCAUCGAAUUGUGGUGAAAACUAUUACGGUGAGGAAGACGGCC